This 756-nucleotide ribosomal RNA is filed under the name uncultured bacterium. RNAcentral describes it as "bacterial SSU rRNA". It matches the Rfam family "Bacterial small subunit ribosomal RNA", at positions 8 to 796 of the family's 1533-position model. The record is from RNAcentral.
AGAGUUUGAUCCUGGCUCAGAAUCAACGCUGGCGGCGCGCUUAACACAUGCAAGUCGAACGAGAAAGUGGAGCAAUCCAUGAGUAAAGUGGCGUACGGGUGAGUAACACGUGGGUAAUCUACCUCUUGGUGGGGAAUAACCCUGGGAAACCGGGGCUAAUACCGCAUAAGCUCGGAAGAGGAAGCCCGAAAGGGGCCGAGAGAGGAGCCCGCGGUCGAUUAGCUAGUUGGUGAGGUAAGAGCUCACCAAGGCGAUGAUCGAUAGCCGGCCUGAGAGGGCACACGGCCACACUGGCACUGAAACACGGGCCAGACUCCUACGGGAGGCAGCAGUGGGGAAUCUUGCACAAUGGGGGCAACCCUGAUGCAGCGACGCCGCGUGAGCGAUGAAGCCCUUCGGGGUGUAAAGCUCUUUCGGCCGGAACGAUAAUGACGGUACCGGCAGAAGAAGCUGCGGCUAACUACGUGCCAGCAGCCGCGGUAAUACGUAGGCAGCGAGCGUUGUUCGGAGUUACUGGGCGUAAAGAGUGCGUAGGCGGUGCUCUAAGUUUGGUGUGAAAUCUCCCGGCUCAACUGGGAGGGUGCGCCGAAAACUGGAGUGCUCGAGUAUGGGAGAGGUAAGCGGAAUUCCUGGUGUAGCGGUGAAAUGCGUAGAUAUCAGGAGGAACACCUGCGGUGUAGACGGCUUACUGGACCAUGACUGACGCUGAGGCACGAAAGCGUGGGGAGCAAACAGGAUUAGAUACCCUAGUAGUCC